Molecule: ribosomal RNA, 404 nt
Filed under: Thraustochytrium sp.
Lineage: Eukaryota; Bigyra; Thraustochytrida; Thraustochytriidae
Description: bacterial SSU rRNA
Rfam family: Eukaryotic small subunit ribosomal RNA
Source: RNAcentral
CUGGUUGAUCCUGCCAGUAGUCAUACGCUUGAGUCAAAGAUUAAGCCAUGCAUGUCUAAGUUUAAGUAAAUUUAAACAGCGAAACUGCGAACGGCUCAUUAUAUCAGUUUGAAUCUAUUUGGUAUUGUUUUAUAUAAUUGGAUAUUCGUAGUAAUUCUAGGCUAAUACAUGCAUAAAUACCUGACGUUUUCGAAGGGUAGUAUUUAUUAGAUUAAAACCAAUCGUGGUAAUACACGUUUUGUGUUGAUUCAUAAUAACUAAGCGAAUCGCAGUAGCAUUUAAUUGCGGCGAUGUGCCAUUACCGAUCCUGCCCUAUCAGUUGUCGAUUCCAGGGUCGUGUCCUGGAAUGACGUUGACGGGUGACGGGGAAUUAGGGUUUGAUUCCGGAGAGGGAGCUCGAGAGA